GGCUGUGUUGGCCACCUCUUUACACUCCAACAGCAGAGGAGGGGGGGAAGCCUCCAUGUAUUGGGUCGACGACUAAGGAGAUUAGCUAGUUGCUUGCCGGAGCUAGCAAGCAAACUUCAGCAGCUCGAGAAAUAUUGAAAUACAUGCAGUUUUGACUUUGGUGGUCGACCUUCCUUGCAAUCUGGCAGAGGAGACAGAGACUAACGUUAGUGCAUUUUAUUAUACAUGAUCAUCUUAUAUGCUAG
This 245-nucleotide unclassified non-coding RNA is filed under the name Hevea brasiliensis (rubber tree). Lineage: Eukaryota; Viridiplantae; Streptophyta; Magnoliopsida; Malpighiales; Euphorbiaceae. The record is from RNAcentral.